ACUCCUAUGACGCAGUGGCUAGCGUGUCGUUCUUAUAUCGUUACCCGAAAGGGACCGGUAUGGCUUCUGCCUCAAUGAGAAAUGCGAAAGUCGUGAGUUCGACCCUCACUAGGAGUA
Non-coding RNA from Myriangium duriaei CBS 260.36, 117 nucleotides. The record is from the annotation of a GenBank genome assembly. Lineage: Eukaryota; Fungi; Ascomycota; Dothideomycetes; Myriangiales; Myriangiaceae.